This 253-nucleotide ribosomal RNA is filed under the name uncultured bacterium. RNAcentral describes it as "partial 16S ribosomal RNA". It matches the Rfam family "Bacterial small subunit ribosomal RNA", at positions 524 to 776 of the family's 1533-position model. The record is from RNAcentral.
UACGAAGGGGGCUAGCGUUGCUCGGAAUCACUGGGCGUAAAGGGCGCGUAGGCGGCCAUUCAAGUCAGGGGUGAAAGCCUGUGGCUCAACCACAGAAUUGCCUUUGAUACUGUUUGGCUAGAGACCGGAAGAGGUAAGUGGAACUGCGAGUGUAGAGGUGAAAUUCGUAGAUAUUCGCAAGAACACCAGUGGCGAAGGCGGCUUACUGGUCCGGUUCUGACGCUGAGGCGCGAAAGCGUGGGGAGCGAUCCGG